UUCGGAUCGGACCCACUUCAGUUCGAGUCAAAUCCUUUAGGUAGUGCUUGGUUCGGAAACAAAGGGGGGAAUAAGCCCUUGUUCCCCCCUUUGUUCCCAAACGGUAUGUUUAGUUCCCGGGAACAGUAGUUCCCGGGUUCUUGGAACAAGCUGGUAUAAGGCUGGAACUGCUGUUCCACCCGUUUCCUGGAACUAGCUUGUUCCUUGAUGAGAACAAGGUUAAUUAAAAUCUAAAUUUAAUUUUAAUGACAGUAAAUUAUUAAUUAAUCUAAUUAAUAUAUUUAAAUCUUUAUUUAUUACUUUAAUAAUUAAAUAAUUAAAUAAUUUAUUAUUUAUAAUUAAAUAUUAAUAAUUAGAUAAUUAUUAUUAUUAAUUUAUUAUUUAUAAUUAAUUAUUAAUGAAUUAAUAAUAUUUAUUAUUAUUUAUUAAUAAUUAUUAUUUUUAAUAAUAAUCAAUAUUAUUAAUAAUUUAUUAUUUAUAAUUAAUAAUAAUUAAUAAUAUUUAUUAAUAAUUAAUAUUUAUUAAUAAUUAUUAAUAAUAAUUAUUAUUUAUUAAUAAAUAUUAAUAUUAAUUAUUAUUAAUAAUUAGAUAAUCAAUAUUAUUAUUAAUUUAUUAUUUAUAAUUAAUUAAUAAGAAUAAUUAAUAAUUAUUAUUAUUUAUUAAUAAUUAAUAAUAAUAAUAAUUAUUAUUAUUAAUUAGAUAAUCGAUAUUAUUAAUUUAUUAUUUAUAAUUAAUUACUAAUAAUAAUUAUUAUUUAUAAUUAAUGAUUAAUAACUAAUUUAUUAUUUAUUUUUUAAUAAUAUUUUGAUGUUAAUUAAUUACAUAAUAUAAUUUUAAUUUCAAAUUAUAACUCUUAUUCCUCUUGUUCCAAUCUAACCAUCCAAACACUAUUUACCUUAUUCCUAGAACAACCCAAUUUUCAUCCAAACACAAAAUUGGUCUAGUUCCUACGUAUACCUGAACUUGUACCUAUUCCUGGAACUAGCAGUUCUUACUUAUACCCGAACCAAACGUAGCCUUAAGGUUCGGUUCAGAUCGGACCCACUUUGGUUCGAGUCGAAUCCUUUCCGGUUCGGUUCGGAUAGAAUCCACUUUGCUU
This 1099-nucleotide long non-coding RNA is filed under the name Ananas comosus (pineapple). RNAcentral's name for it is "long non-coding RNA (ACOM_LNC023086)". The record is from RNAcentral. Lineage: Eukaryota; Viridiplantae; Streptophyta; Magnoliopsida; Poales; Bromeliaceae.